RNAcentral lists this ribosomal RNA (520 nucleotides) under uncultured bacterium. RNAcentral describes it as "bacterial SSU rRNA". It matches the Rfam family "Bacterial small subunit ribosomal RNA", at positions 1 to 512 of the family's 1533-position model. The record is from RNAcentral.
GCUAUUUAGGUUAGAGUUUGAUCCUGGCUCAGAUUGAACGCUGGCGGAAUGCUUUACACAUGCAAGUCGAGCGGCAGCGCGGGGCAACCUGGCGGCGAGCGGCGAACGGGUGAGUAAUGCAUCGGAACAUGUCCAUGUCGUGGGGGAUAGCCCGGCGAAAGCCGGAUUAAUACCGCAUACGCCCGAGAGGGGAAAGCGGGGGACCGCAAGGCCUCGCGCGAUUGGAUUGGCCGAUGUCCGAUUAGCUAGUUGGUGGGGUAAAGGCCCACCAAGGCGAUGAUCGGUAGCUGGUCUGAGAGGAUGAUCAGCCACACUGGGACUGAGACACGGCCCAGACUCCUACGGGAGGCAGCAGUGGGGAAUUUUGGACAAUGGGGGAAACCCUGAUCCAGCCAUUCCGCGUGAGUGAAGAAGGCCUUCGGGUUGUAAAGCUCUUUUGUCCGGAACGAAACGGUGGACGUGAAUAUCGUCCAUUACUGACGGUACCGGAAGAAUAAGCACCGGCUAACUACGUGCCGCC